GUCGGUCUACCCGGAUGGCACUACCUGAUGGCACUACCCUGAUGAUGUCUGUUAGCCAUGGCUGCUGCCCUCAACAUGGUGAGCCAUCCAGAAGUCCCAGCCUGGAGCCAGAGGCUGCUAUUGCAAGUCAGAUGGGAGAUGGCCUACAGUAUGUUAGGCAUCAGAAAAGUGGUGUUCGCAUGAAGGCAGAGUUGCCGCAGGCAAUUAUGAGAUUAGACACUUGACAUUUACUGCGAAAGGUACCAUCAGAGCACCUCUCCCUACCCUGCAGGAUACCUAUACCAGAAGAGUACAACAACGGCCCAAAAGUAUUUCAAAAGACAUUUCACGCUCUGACCACGGACUGUUUAAACCACUGAGGUCAAGCAGACGUCUCUGUUCCCACGUGGCAGACUGAGGGAACACCCACAAAACAGACUGGGGAUGAGUUUCUUUACUCCGCAUCCUGUACACACACAACUCCUUAUACUACAUUACAUAGACUUGCCAGUUGCCAUACUGCACUU
Molecule: long non-coding RNA, 506 nt
Organism: Sardina pilchardus (European sardine)
Lineage: Eukaryota; Metazoa; Chordata; Actinopteri; Clupeiformes; Clupeidae
Exons: 3
Source: RefSeq, a predicted model, not a curated record